RNAcentral lists this ribosomal RNA (922 nucleotides) under uncultured fungus. RNAcentral describes it as "eukaryotic LSU rRNA". The stretch from base 274 to 922 matches the Rfam family "Eukaryotic large subunit ribosomal RNA", at positions 1 to 664 of the family's 3401-position model. Lineage: Eukaryota; Fungi. The record is from RNAcentral.
AUCGAUGAAGAACGCAGCGAAAUGCGAUAAGUAAUGUGAAUUGCAGAAUUCAGUGAAUCAUCGAAUCUUUGAACGCACAUUGCGCCCCUUGGUAUUCCGGGGGGCAUGCCUGUUCGAGCGUCAUUAUAACCCCUCAAGCUCAGCUUGGUGUUGGGGCCUGCCAACUGGCAGCCCUUAAAAUCAGUGGCGGCGCCAUCUGGCUCUAAGCGUAGUAAUUUCUCUCGCUAUAGGGUCCUGAUGGAUGCUUGCCAACAACCCCCAAUUUUCUAUGGUUGACCUCGGAUCAGGUAGGGAUACCCGCUGAACUUAAGCAUAUCAAUAAGCGGAGGAAAAGAAACCAACAGGGAUUGCCUCAGUAACGGCGAGUGAAGCGGCAACAGCUCAAAUUUGAAAUCUGGCUCUUUCAGGGUCCGAGUUGUAAUUUGUAGAAGAUGCUUCGGGUGUGGCUCCGGUCUAAGUUCCUUGGAACAGGACGUCAUAGAGGGUGAGAAUCCCGUAUGUGACUGGUUGCCUUCGCCCAUGUGAAGCUCUUUCGACGAGUCGAGUUGUUUGGGAAUGCAGCUCAAAAUGGGUGGUAAAUUUCAUCUAAAGCUAAAUAUUGGCCAGAGACCGAUAGCGCACAAGUAGAGUGAUCGAAAGAUGAAAAGCACUUUGGAAAGAGAGUUAAACAGUACGUGAAAUUGUUGAAAGGGAAGCGCUUGCAACCAGACUUGCACGCAGUUGAUCAUCCGGUGUUCUCACCGGUGCACUCUGCUGCGUUCAGGCCAGCAUCGGUUUUGGUGGUUGGAUAAAGGCCUUGGGAAUGUGGCUCCUCUCGGGGAGUGUUAUAGCCCUCGGUGCAAUGCAGCCUACUGGGACCGAGGACCGCGCUUCGGCUAGGAUGCUGGCGUAAUGGUUGUAAGCGACCCGUCUUGAAACACGG